Molecule: long non-coding RNA, 432 nt
Filed under: Nicotiana benthamiana
Lineage: Eukaryota; Viridiplantae; Streptophyta; Magnoliopsida; Solanales; Solanaceae
Description: long non-coding RNA (NBEN_LNC034158)
Source: RNAcentral
GGGUGAUCACUAUCAAGUAUUCCUAAGUUUUCAUUAGUAUUUCUAGGUUGGCUACUAGUUUGAACUUGUUUAUCUUUUCUAAGGCGGGGAGCCGGGGGAGGGGUAGGAUUUUGGCGACUACUUUCACCGGAUUUAGAUGUACCUUUUCCUAAUAUUUUUUUCAAUGAAAAUGCCAUACUAAUUAUAAUUAAGCAAAAUAAAAACACACAACAAAUAUUCUUAGCAGCAGCGGUGAAUCUUCAACGUCUCCUUCUCCAGCACGGGCUGCACUUCGAGACGAGGGGCCAUCAAGGGUUGUGCUCCCUAGAGCGGAAUCUCCCUCACCCAAGGAGGAGGAGGAGGAGGAGGAGGAGAGGCCAUUGGUGAGAUGGAGGGUCGUGUUCACGUCGGCUUCACCUGUGGUAAUGAAUUUGGACUCCCUCCAGCGGAUAC